RNAcentral lists this long non-coding RNA (776 nucleotides) under Heterocephalus glaber (naked mole-rat). Its description in RNAcentral is "lncRNA (ENSHGLG00000044825.1)". The record is from RNAcentral. Lineage: Eukaryota; Metazoa; Chordata; Mammalia; Rodentia; Bathyergidae.
CACAGAGCGAAGCGGCGUCCUCACUCGGGGUCACCUGUCCUCCCGCUGGGCUCUCCCCCGCAGCGCCCCAUCCCUCUUUCUUCUUUCCUUCCUUCCUUCUUUUCUCUCUCUUCCUCCUCCCUCUUUCUGCCCUAGAACUCGUCACUGUCACCUCGCAGCCUUCCUGGGCUCCUCUGGGCGGUGCAGCCGCUCAGGCUCUGUGUCCCAUGCUGUCAUUUUGAGGAGUGCUGCUCACGGGGAUUUGGCCGCUGUCCAUCCACAGGGAGGCUGGGCCAGGGUUGGUCUCUGGUCAGUUCCUGGGAAGGUGGACAAUGGCCCCAACCCACACCAGAGGAGUCUCUGCACCUCAUUCUCAGAGAUAAACCGGGACAGCAGACGGGCCUGGCCGCCAGCAGCUCUCACACUUUCCAGCCCCGGGGACCGGCAUGUGGCGUGGCGCCUCCCAGCUGAGCCAUCAGCCCCUGACUGCGCAGCAUCCAGCAGUCUCUGGGCUGGGGUGAGGGCUUCUAGAAAGUUCUCUGUGUGGGAGGCACGUGACAUCGGGCUGGACACAUGUGCCGGGCUCCAGAGAAGCCAGAGCCGAAACUGCGCCUUCCCAUAGGAGGCCGGACGCUGACCCUGAGGCCACAGGGACGCACGCCCACCCUACUCUGCCCCAGUACAGGGUGGAGCUGUUGUAAACAGUGGAUCCUGUGACCAGGGCCUGAUGGAGGCAGGAGCCCCCCUCGGAGCAGGGCCGGCGUCCAGGCCUCUGCGGCUCUGCUGCAAGAUGCCUC